GCACUCGCUUUGGCAGCACAUACACUAAAACUGGAAGGACACAGAGAAGAUUAGCAUGGCCCCUGAGCAAGGAUGACACACAAAUUCUUGAAGUGUUCCAUAUUUUU
This 107-nucleotide small nuclear RNA is filed under the name Sus scrofa (pig). Lineage: Eukaryota; Metazoa; Chordata; Mammalia; Artiodactyla; Suidae. The record is from RNAcentral.